Molecule: non-coding RNA, 160 nt
Filed under: bovine gut metagenome
Source: RNAcentral
GCGGUUUUUCCUCCGCGAAAAUCAAAAAGGAAUCCGGUCAGAGCCCGGAACUGACGCGCAGCGGUAGAAGGGACGCUGAUGCAACAUCACACUGGGAUGAUCCUGGGAAGUGGCAUUCAGCGGUCAGCCACCUUUGAGUCCGAAGACUUGCCCCGGCAAC